AAUCGAAACCGCCACAAGGCGGUCAAGCGGAAUCGCCGCCCGCUUCUGAUGAGAUAGGCGAAA
RNAcentral lists this non-coding RNA (63 nucleotides) under Acholeplasmataceae bacterium. Lineage: Bacteria; Bacillati; Mycoplasmatota; Mollicutes; Acholeplasmatales; Acholeplasmataceae. The record is from RNAcentral. RNAcentral also lists the same sequence under 1 other name.